GAUUUAUUCUAGGUUUUAAUGAUCCUUCAACUGAUUUCACCACCACAGCACCUAAUCGUCCUCCUUGCUUAGCCGAUUUCCCACCGUUACCGGCAUCGUCGUCGAUGUUUCUUCGCCGCCGGUGACUGUCACCGCCAACAUCACCACGACACCACAUCACUGUUCUCCUCGCUUACCGCCAUUGAAUGCCGGCGUCGUGACUGUUCCGCCCGCCAGAUUUGCAACAACAGCUUACUAUGCUGGCACCGUCACCAACCAACACCACCGCUGCCGACUUGACGGAAAGUUAGGGGAAACAGAGCUGUGUUCGCUAUACUGCUAUACCGGCGGUGAGAGUGGUGUUUUUAUACGCCGCCGGCAGUGACGAUGAAGGCGUUGGAGUGUCUUGCUGGAAUAGAGAAAGAGAGAGUGAGACGUUGAGUAUUAAGUUUAGUUUAUGAAUAUGAUUCAAGUCCGUGUUAUUAAUUUAAUAAAUUCAUUUUAGUUGUAAUAAAAUUAAUGUUGCUUAAAUUAACUUUUGAAGCGACUUUUAUAUAAUCAUCCUGAAUUAUUAAGGAAGUAAUUUUUUAUACUUAUUCAUUUGUUAUAUAACUCAAUAUUGUUUUAAAGAUUAAAUAUUUGCCUAACUACUAGUAUAUAUACAAUUGAGGUAGAUCUUAGCUACAGUACUAAGAAAAUCCCUAAAGUAAAAUAUAUUUACAAAUAUGCCAUCUUAA
RNAcentral lists this long non-coding RNA (716 nucleotides) under Helianthus annuus (common sunflower). RNAcentral describes it as "hypothetical non coding rna". Lineage: Eukaryota; Viridiplantae; Streptophyta; Magnoliopsida; Asterales; Asteraceae. The record is from RNAcentral.